RNAcentral lists this unclassified non-coding RNA (253 nucleotides) under uncultured Spirochaetaceae bacterium. RNAcentral describes it as "contains 16S-23S intergenic spacer region". It matches the Rfam family "Bacterial small subunit ribosomal RNA", at positions 524 to 776 of the family's 1533-position model. The record is from RNAcentral. Lineage: Bacteria; Pseudomonadati; Spirochaetota; Spirochaetia; Spirochaetales; Spirochaetaceae.
CACGUAUGGGGCGAGCGUUGUUCGGAAUUACUGGGCGUAAAGGGUGCGUAGGCGGUUCAGCAAGCUCGGUGUUAAAUACCCCGGCCCAACCGGGGGGCUGCGCUGAGAACUGCUGGGCUUGAGUUCAGGAGGGGAAGCUGGAAUUCCUGGUGUAGGGGUGAAAUCUGUAGAGAUCAGCAAGAACACCGGUGGCGAAGGCGAGCUUCUGGCCAUGGACUGACGCUGAGGCACGAAAGCGUGGGGAGCGAACAGG